RNAcentral lists this ribosomal RNA (460 nucleotides) under uncultured bacterium. RNAcentral describes it as "partial 16S ribosomal RNA". It matches the Rfam family "Bacterial small subunit ribosomal RNA", at positions 338 to 795 of the family's 1533-position model. The record is from RNAcentral.
CCUACGGGAGGCAGCAGUGAGGAAUAUUGGUCAAUGGACGAGAGUCUGAACCAGCCAAGUAGCGUGAAGGAUGACUGCCCUAUGGGUUGUAAACUUCUUUUAUAUGGGAAUAAAACGUUCCACGUGUGGGAUUUUGUAUGUACCAUAUGAAUAAAGAUCGGCUAACUCCGGUCCAGCAGCCGCGGGAAUACGGAGGAUCCGAGCGUUAUCCGGAAUUAUUGGGGUUAAAGGGAGCGUAGGUGGAUUGUUAAGUCAGUUGUGAAAGUUUGCGGCUCAACCGUAAAAUUGCAGUUGAAACUGGCAGUCUUGAGUACAGUAGAGGUGUGCGGAAUGCGUGGUGUAGCGGUGAAAUGCUUAGAUAUCACGAAGAACUCCGAUUGCGAAGGCAGUUCACUGGACUGCAACUGACACUGAGGCUCGAAAGUGUGGGUAUCAAACAGGAUUAGAUACCCCUGUAGUC